Molecule: non-coding RNA, 109 nt
Organism: Acaromyces ingoldii
Lineage: Eukaryota; Fungi; Basidiomycota; Exobasidiomycetes; Exobasidiales; Cryptobasidiaceae
Source: the annotation of a RefSeq genome assembly
UCCCGGUUAGCUUAGCGGAAGAGCGUCUGACUUUUAUUCCAAGGGAUUUCUGCGUUCUUGACAAGUUCGCGAAAUCAGAAGGCCGCGGGUUCGAUCCCCGCACUGGGAG